AUUGAACGCCGGCGGCAUGCCUUACACAUGCAAGUCGAACGGCAGCACGGAGCUUGCUCUGGUGGCGAGUGGCGAACGGGUGAGUAAUAUAUCGGAACGUACCCAAGAGUGGGGGAUAACGUAGCGAAAGUUACGCUAAUACCGCAUACGAUCUAAGGAUGAAAGCAGGGGACCUUCGGGCCUUGUGCUCCUGGAGCGGCCGAUAUCUGAUUAGCUAGUUGGUGAGGUAAAGGCUCACCAAGGCAUCGAUCAGUAGCUGGUCUGAGAGGACGACCAGCCACACUGGAACUGAGACACGGUCCAGACUCCUACGGGAGGCAGCAGUGGGGAAUUUUGGACAAUGGGGGCAACCCUGAUCCAGCAAUGCCGCGUGAGUGGAGAAGGCCUUCGGGUUGUAAAGCUCUUUUGUCAGGGAAGAAACGGUGAAGGCUAAUAUCCUUUGCUAAUGACGGUACCUGAAGAAUAAGCACCGGCUAACUACGUGCCAGCCGCCGCUGUAA
Molecule: ribosomal RNA, 500 nt
Filed under: uncultured bacterium
Lineage: Bacteria
Description: partial 16S ribosomal RNA
Rfam family: Bacterial small subunit ribosomal RNA
Source: RNAcentral